Molecule: ribosomal RNA, 253 nt
Filed under: uncultured bacterium
Lineage: Bacteria
Description: partial 16S ribosomal RNA
Rfam family: Bacterial small subunit ribosomal RNA
Source: RNAcentral
UACGGAGGGUGCAAGCGUUAUCCGGAUUCACUGGGUUUAAAGGGUGCGUAGGUGGGUCUGUAAGUCAGUGGUGAAAUCCCCGAGCUUAACUUGGGAACUGCCAUUGAUACUAUAGCUCUUGAAUACUGUGGAGGUCAGCGGAAUAUGUCAUGUAGCGGUGAAAUGCUUAGAUAGGACAUAGAACACCAAUUGCGAAGGCAGCUGGCUACACAAAUAUUGACACUGAGGCACGAAAGCGUGGGGAUCAAACAGG